CAUCAUUUGAAAGCCCACUAGU
RNAcentral lists this non-coding RNA (22 nucleotides) under Arabidopsis thaliana (thale cress). The record is from RNAcentral. Lineage: Eukaryota; Viridiplantae; Streptophyta; Magnoliopsida; Brassicales; Brassicaceae.